Mycena leptocephala is the source of this 95-nucleotide non-coding RNA. The record is from the annotation of a GenBank genome assembly. Lineage: Eukaryota; Fungi; Basidiomycota; Agaricomycetes; Agaricales; Mycenaceae.
UCGGACAUGGUGUAUGGUACACCGCCUCUCUUCAUAGGGCUAAGUACGUGGAUGUGUUUGACGGGGCUGCUGGGGUUCGACUCCCUGUGUCCGAA